Long non-coding RNA from Phragmites australis (common reed), 251 nucleotides. RefSeq lists it as uncharacterized. The record is from RefSeq and is a predicted model, not a curated record. Lineage: Eukaryota; Viridiplantae; Streptophyta; Magnoliopsida; Poales; Poaceae. The transcript is spliced from 2 exons.
AUGUGUGCCCUCAUACUCUCGCUGCUCGAUUCUGAAACCAGGGCUUUCUGAUCGGUGGAUUUGAUUCUUAUCACACGCGACGCGACGUGGCGGAGCAGGCGCGGCAGCACGAUGGCUCCAAAUCCGGAGGCACCAGGCGAGCAGCUAGAGCCUCCCGGCGAGGACGAGGACCUCGACGUUGAGGAGGUCGACCCCACCGAGCGCUACUUACGGUACAAGGAGAUUCUUGGAUCAGGGGGCUUCAAGACAGU